Molecule: unclassified non-coding RNA, 497 nt
Filed under: uncultured Glomus
Lineage: Eukaryota; Fungi; Glomeromycota; Glomeromycetes; Glomerales; Glomeraceae
Description: SSU rRNA
Rfam family: Eukaryotic small subunit ribosomal RNA
Source: RNAcentral
CCAAUAGCGUAUAUUAAAGUUGUUGCAGUUAAAAAGCUCGUAGUUGAAUUUCGGGACCAAUCUGCCGGUCGUGCCUCCGGUACGCACUGGUUUUAUUGGUUUCUCCCUUCUGACGAACCAUGAUGUCAUUAAUUUGGUGUCAUGGGGAAUCAGGACUGUUACUUUGAAAAAAUUAGAGUGUUUAUAGCAGGCUCACGCUUGAAUACAUUAGCAUGGAAUAAUGAAAUAGGACGUUUGACCCUAUUUUGUUGGUUUCUAGGAUCGACGUAAUGAUUAAUAGGGAUAGUUGGGGGCAUUAGUAUUCAAUUGUCAGAGGUGAAAUUCUUGGAUUUAUUGAAGACUAACUACUGCGAAAGCAUUUGCCAAGGAUGUUUUCAUUAAUCAAGAACGAAAGUUAGGGGAUCGAAGACGAUCAGAUACCGUCGUAGUCUUAACCAUAAACUAUGCCAACCAGCGAUUAGCCUGAGUUCCUUAAAUGACUCGGCUAGCAGCUUCCA